AGUAGUCAAGAUAAGAUGACUUUUAUCUUUCCUCCGGAUGUGAGCUUAUUGCCUACUGACCUUACUCAAAAAGAGUCGAUGGGAGGGCUUUGGUACGACAAAGCGUAUAAUAGUAAAUAUGAAUUGUUUUAUGGGCAGAGUUGGUGUUUUCUCCAUGUUAGUCAUUCAGAAGAAAAAGUUCUUCCAUUCCAUUUGUGUCACUUCCUCAAAGUUUUCCUUUUUCCUAAUUCUUUCUUUCUGAUUUUAUUAUUCUCAGAGCUAUCCUCUCAUCUCAACCCCAGGAAGUAAAAUAGUAAAUCUUCCUAUCAUACUGCUCUUUCUCUCAACCCUUAUGGGUUUCGUUUCAAAAGUUCUCUGUUUUGGUUGAAGUUUGUCUAUGGAGUCUACUGUAUUUUUGAAUUCUAGAAAAAAAAAAUUUCCUUCACAUGUUUCUUGAUUAUAGGGAUUUGGUGGGUAUCUGUUAAGUUUUCUUUGCUACUCUCUUACUUUGUUCUGUAGAUGCAUGUGGGUUUGCUAGGUUUCGAAAUUGCCAAAAGGCCUAUUUUUGGUCAGAAAAUUAAUUCGCUCAUCAAAUUCUUUUUUGAUCUACUAAAAAUCGACGUUUUGUUUUUUUCCAUUUCUAAUUGUAGUUUCUGUUGUUCCUAAAUUGUACGCAUGUGAAUUUUCUCAUAAAAUUGCUAAUGGUUGCCAGUAGUUUAUUGUAUUCUCUCUAUAAAUAGUAGCUAAUGCUUUAUGUAUUACUGUGAAGCAGAGGGUGAGAGAGAUGAGAUCAAAUCUUCGUCGUCUCAGGUGUUGGUCCUUUUAAUGUCCAUUUGUUGCCGUUAUCUUUUUCUUAGUGAGUAUUAUUUGGUAAAAUAUUGGCUUCUUUGUCUCUGGUUUCUCCUAUGAAUAGUUUGUCCAUCAUAUUUUGUUCUGUAUUUCGUGUUAAGAUGUGGUUAAUUUUCUUUAAUUUUUGGCGGGUCAUAAGAAGUUAAGUCAGCUCUAUUCAUUUGAAUCUACAGGCAAGAAAAAAAUAAAUUAUUCAAUGAAUACACAUAAAGAGUGAAAUUGGACAAAAGAAAAUUAAAAAUAAGAUGAUCUACAGUUCUUAUGUGUAAAAGGCAUUUGUGUUAAAUCUAUACAGUCCUUACAUACAUACAUACAUACUACUCCCCGUUCCAGUUUAGGUGAAUCUAUUUCCUUUUUGGUCAGCUCAAAAAAGAAUGACCCCUUUCUAAAUUUGAAAAUAAUUUUGCUUAAACUUUCAAUUCUACCCUUAAUGAGAAGCUUUUAUAACCAGACAAAUGCUCUAGGCCCCUUUCUGACUUGUUUAGGACCACAAAUUUUAAAAGUAUUCGUUUUUUCUUAAACUCCGUGUCAAGUCAAACAAGUUCACAUAAAUUGAAACGGAGGGAGUAAAGAAAAAUGAGACUAUUUUCUAGAAAUUGGAAGAAUGGUACAUGAAGGAAGAAAUUAACACAUAAAUGCAAUGUUUUCCUUCUCAUAUGUUUGCUACUGGUUCAUUCUUGUCUUUGUUUAUUUUUAUCUAUUUGUUACUAUGUUUAUCUAUUGAUAGAUUUUUAAUUCAUCUUUCUUGCCUCUUUCUGAGUAUUAUUCUAAAGGUGUCAACCAAGUGACCACCCAAGCUACUUGGAUCAUCAAUUAGAGUUUGAAUGAAUGCCACCCUAUGCUCCUGCUCUAUGAUCUCAAGCUAAACCAAGUAAGCAACUGAGUAUUGCUUCGUCUAGCUUUUCUUUCCCCCUUGUGUUUUACAUCUUCUUGCACUUGCACGUAUUUUUCCCGACAUCACAUGAAUAAAUAUUGAAGGUGUAACAAAUUACUUUGGCUACCUAAACAACAACAACCCAGUAAAAUCCAACCAAGUGGAGCCUGAGGAAAAUUAUCACCGGUGAAAAUGGACAGAAGUAAUAGAAGCUCACUAUCUACAUGUUUAUCCCUGUCCACAUAUUCAUUAUUUUCGCAUCCUGGUAGCAAUAAGGCAACCUUGGUUUAAAUAAUAUUUAGGUAGCCAAAGUAUUGCUACUAGGAUGCGAAAAUAAUGAAUAUGUGUAAAUAGCGAGCUUCUAUUACUUCUUUCCAUUUUCACCGGUGAUAAUUAUGUGAAAAUCUAGGUUCCAUGUGGAAAUUACGCUUCUUCUCUGUAUAAUUUGUAAGCAAAUUUUGGUUCUUUUUUCAUUUGUCACUCUCUUUCUCUCUCUCUUUUUUCUUCCGCUCAUCUCUGCUGCCCUAUUUCUCUCUCCGGUGGGUUCUUCUACCUCCCUUUCCAUUUUGUUUAGUUUGUUUUUUCAAUUCUGAUUUCUUUAUAUUCUGUCUUUUGAUUUUUGUGUUGUCUAAUUUUGUUUUCCUUUUGGGUAUAAAUUGUGACUAUUAGUUUCCUAAGACAAGUACAGAGAAAUUGAUUUUGUGUCCGUUCCUUUCAUCUUGCAAUAUUUGAUGUGCUCUCGGCAUUUUUUUCGUAAUACAUGCAAUGAUUUCUUAUUAUAUUAAAGCUUCUAGUAAUUUUUUUUUUUUUUUUUACAGUUAUUGGUGUAGAUCUCAUUACUCCUCUAUCUGGUUGUGAUUUGGUGAAACUAAAUAAAAAUUGAAUGAAUAGUAAAAAAAAGAAUGCUAAUAUAGUUUGAGAGGAUAAGGUUUUUGGUUGCAAAACCUGUAUAAGCUGAAGAGUAAAGUUGAAAUCUUGUUAUAUUAAAGAGAGCUUUUGCUCUUAGAUUUAGCUGGUAGUUAGAGAGUUGCGAAGACAUGGACUGAAGGUAGCUUUAAACAGUGAUACUUCACUUCAUUUCAAUGGACAUGUUACCUACCUUAGCAAAUAAAAAUAACACAAUCCAUAUAGGUAAUCACUUAUCUUUGCAGUACUAGCGGUCUGCCCAUCCUAGCAAUAUUCCUUGCACACUUGAUCCAAGAACAUGAAAACUCCUAAAUCAAUCUUUGCUAGGUAAAAUGUAAUAAUGACACUACCAUAUUGGUUUCACUUUAGGAGCGGCAAGAUUUAUAAGCAGCUAUAUGUAUUGAAGUACAGUAGAAUAUACAUUUUUAUUGUUCUCUUUUUUCAUUCGCGACCGUUAUUUUUGGACAUGAGAUGAUUCAUAUACUACUAUUAUACAUAGAUAGAGAAUGUGAGGAGAGCUAAUAGAUUAGGCUUAGUGAAGAAUAUUUUGAAUGUAUACGUGGAGAUGGGUGAAAACUCCCUGAAAUAUUACGUGAUAGACUUUGAAGAAUCAAUGCUGAAGGUAUAUCCUACUCUAAGAAAGCCUCAGAUUGGACUGUAAGAAAAUGUUACGAGGAUUAGAUGCUGAAGGUGCUAUUUAUUUAAGCUUGCUUUGCAUGUUGCAUAAACUUUAUAGUUCCUCACCAGUUAUUGAUUACACUCUCUUGAUGAAAUUCAGGUCGAGGAAUGCUUAUAGCAUGAAGAAGUUAGGACUCAAUCUGUUUCACAAUGCACUGCAAUUACUGCACUUCACAAAGUUGCAAAAUCUCAUGUUCUAACUGACCAGGACUUCUCUGCAGUAUGAAGCAUUGAACGCAAAACUGCAAUACCAGAGAUAGAGAGGUAAUUUUUCUUCUAGGGUGGGGCUGGUGGUAUUAUUCUGUAUUGUUCGUAACUUAAAAAGGCUGUUGAAAAAUUCAUGUUUAGUAAAUGAUGUAAAAUUAUGACAUACAAUUGCAUGAUCUCUAUUCUUAAGUGGGUUGUGGAAUAAUGUUGCUAUGUUUCUUAUCUAUUCUUUGUGAAUUAUCCUUCUGGUUAAUGGAAUUGCUGGCCCAGCUACUUUUCUGAUGCAAUAUUGCAGUUAAGUGAUGAUCCCUGUAUUCAUCCAAGUAUAUUCUGGUCUUUCUGUUUCUUUAUUUUCUCUUAUUGCUGUAGCUAUUUUAUGCACAUCUAAGCCAAAAAUGCUUCUCCGGUUCACUGUUAAUGUUGCAUCUAUAGGUCUGCUAUGUAGUAUUGAGUUCAUGCUCUUUUGUCGGGCAUAUGCCCGUACAUAGCACGGGCACUAACCAUCUAGUAUUAAAAUAGGUGAAGGUGACUCUAAUGAUGUAUAUUUAAGUUAAGCUCAGGAAAAUAACAUCACCUAGAAAGGAACACAAGAAUGUAUGCCAACUGCCUUUUCGAAAAGUAAACAGAAAAAAGAAAAGAAAUGAGUGACUUAUAAUAUAAAAGAUUAUUUUGACUUGUAAAUCUUUACUAACUUGUUUGGUCAAGUUCAUAAAAGGUAAAAAAUGCUUUUAUUUUUAUUUUUAAACAAAGCAGUUUGUCUUUUACUUUUUUCUCUUUUCAGUUUGGCGUUUACAUUUUUCUCUUUUUCUUUGUUAUAAAGAAGAAGAACAUGAAAUUCGAAAAUUAUAUGCCAAACCUAAAUGAAGUUCAUUUUUUCACUUCAAAAAAAUACCGCACCGGAAAAAGCACUUCAAGGAUAUUAGGGUUAGAUAGCUUUUUUUCUCUGGUAGUCUAAAAUCUUUCCAAUACGACGAUUCAAUGACCUUUGAUACGUUACACUUAGGGGUCGUUUGGUUCGCGGACAGAAUUAUUCCAGGAUUAUAAUCCUGGUAUUAAUAAUCCCUUGGGUUACUUAGUGUUAUUACUUUGUUUCGUUCAUUGGAUUAAAAAUGGGAUAUACCGUAUAUAAUCCAAAACAUGUGUUUGGUUUAAAGUUGGAUAAACUUGGAUAAAAUUCUAUUUCCUAUUUUAACCUUAGAUAUUUCAUGGCUUAUACAAACGAUAUUUUUCUUAACAGAAAACUCCACCCAACAAUAUUUUCUUAUUAUACUAAGUUCAAAUACUCAAAGACAUUACUUCAUUCAUCCAAGAUGCAAGAAAAUUAUAUUGUUGCUGCACUGUUGCAAAAGAAGUACACAAACUGAAGCUAAAAUAGUGUAGAAAUAUACAGAAAAAUAUAGAAACUAUGCAAAAGAGUGCAGAAUCAAUGCAGAAAAAUGCAAAAACUAUGCAGAAAACUGCAGAAACUAUGCAAAAAGAGUGCAGAAAAAUGCAGAAAUAAUGUAAAAACAUAGCAGAAAAAUACAGGAAUCAUGCAGAAACUGUGCACCAAGAAUGCAGAAAGUGCAGGAACUAUGCAAAAAUUACUCAAAUACAGUGCAAAAAAAUACAAGAAUUGUGCAAAAACUCCAGCAAAAAGAGUGCAGAAGCUUAUGCAGAAACUGAAACUAAAAUCUGCUAAACUGAAACUUAAAAACUACAAACUGAAAUUAAAAUAUGCAGAAAUCAAAACUAAAAUAAGUGCAGAAACUAAAGCUAAAAUAAGUGCAGAUACUACAAUAAGAAAAAGUGUAGAAACUGCAGUCAAAAUCUGCAGAAAUUGAAACUAAAAAAGUGCAGCGGCAAACAUACACAUUGCUCUGGAAUACCAAUAGUGCCAUAAAAUCACCGCGAAAUUGUUCAAGCAUGUCGCAAAUAUAAAAACAAUAUCACACGAUCAUAAAAAGCUAUAAAUAGACAAAAGGUAUGAUCUCCAUACCAAUUAGCAUUCAUGCAUUACAUUUACAUAUGCAUCCUCAUGCUCAUACUAGUCACAUAUCAAGUUUAUGGAGCUGAGGCAUCAAAAAUAUAAUACAUCUAUUAAACAUUUUGAAGGUUGUCAAUUUAGCAAAAACCAUCAAACCCAUGCCCAACCUUUACAAUUAUAUCUUAUAUACUUGGAAAUAUAUCAUUGAUAAUCAUCCAGACCAUAUUCUGACGUUCAAGUUCACCCAUCCGUAAGAAUAUAUCCAUUCUUCUAACCUCAGAAGUAAGCCCCAUUGCUGCUUUGAUUUGUUGUUCUGAAGUGUACAACUCAAAAGCAGGGGAUGAGAGGAUAUCUAGAACUUUUCCACGAAUUUCAGACUCAUCACGCCCCCCAAACCUUUCAACUAAAGCACCCAUCCUUUUGUCAUGGUUUUCCAUAAAUUGCUUCAUAACAUCGACUAAACUCUUUAAAAUUGUCUCGUCAUCAUUGUCUAUAGAUCUUUUUCUUUUUCUGCUUUUCUCCUUUAUCAUUGAUAUUAGAAGAGGAGCUUCUAGUAUUUUUAGCUUGCUGUUGACUCCAUGAUCUGCACUAUAAGAAGCUUCACUAGGUUCAUGAGUAUUUUCUGCUUCUCCAGGGGCUACAUCAGGUUCGUGUCCAACAUCUUCUUCUUCUUCAUCAUCAACAUCAAUAGGAAAUCCCAAACUCAUGUCAUUAGAAACUCCCCGACCUUCACUCUGAGCAAUUUCCUCAACAGCAUCUUGCGGCCCUUUUGCAAACUCUCCUGUUGCUCUAUCUUUUCAAAUAUUUCCUCCCAAUCCUCAAAAAAUGGCCAUGUCUUACUUUGCAUUCCUUUGGCAUUUGGAUCAAUCUACAAAUAAAUUAGUGACAAAAGAACAUAAUUAAUAUAUUAAAAAUUAAUUCUAAGGAACUAACAUAUUCGAUUACUUGAAAAUAAAACUUUCAUUACCUUAACAAACUCAUCCCAUUUUGUUAGAUCAUCAACUAUAAUUCUUCCUUCACCAUAUUUAAAGCCCAAUCCACUUAGACUUUUUAAUGAAACUAUAGUACUAUAGUCCCUCUUCCAUGCUUUCAAUUUAGAAUUAAUAUGUGGUGCAGAUUUUAAUCCACAGUUAGGAAGAACUUUCUGUAAAUGAUGCUAUAAUUCCAUCAAGUAUCCAUUCUUAAAGGUUCUAUUAUCGGCUUUCCAACCUUAAAUCUUUUAAACCAACAACAAGAGUGCGUUCUUGUUCUAGUGUCCAUGUCCUUCGACACUGAGGUGUUGAUCUCCUUGACCUUUUCGACGCUUGAUUAGAAGGUGCUGCGUGAUUACUCAUUUAUGAUCUUGUGGGAAAGCUGAUCAAGUAAAGAAAUAGAAAGGAAUGAACUUUAUUUUUCACAAUCCAUUUCGGAAGCUAGCAAAACAGAGAAAAUAAAAUUUUAUAAUGUUAAACUCCAGCAUAUAAAUCUCAUAAAAGCACACAAUGAAGAUGCAAUCAACUCCUUUUUGUACUGGUAACUACCACAUUUCUUUUUUGUAUUCUUACAUUCACAAAUUCAAUCCACUCCAACUUCAACUUUAAUCUAGAAAGACUUGCAGGAGACAAGAUAUCUCAAAGUAGAUUGAUUCAUCUUAGGUUACAAAUGAGAGAAGUACUAAUAAAAAAGCUUACAUUUUCGGACAACAAAACUAAACUUAUCUUAUGAUUAAUAAGUAAAUGCAAAAGAUGAACACUUCUGAUUCAACAUAGCAAGUUUUUUUUUUUUUUUUUAACUCAGUGUUAAAUUAAGAGUAGAUAUCUUUCGGAGAAGCUGAGCAACUGAGCCUUGUUUUUACAUACUGAUUUGUUUUUAAAUCUGGAAGGAAUUAAAAUGCUAAUCUACUGCGAUUUUUUCAGCUGAAAUCACUUGUUUUAUUCACUUAUAUUACUGCAACAUAGGACAAGAGUGGGUUGCUCUAGUGGUGAGCACCCUCCACUUCCAACCAAGAGGUUGUGAGUUCAAGUCACCCCAAGAGCAAGGUGGGGAGUUCUUGUAGGGAGGGAGCCGAGGGUCUAUCGAAAACAACCUCUCUGCCCUAGGGUAGGGGUAAGGUCUGCGUACAAACUACCCUCCCCAGACCUCACUAGUGGGAUUAUACUGGGUUGUUGUUGUUGUACUGCAACAUAGGGCGACUUGGGCGCAAUGAGGUUGAGAAUGGUAAAAAUCAUUAAUAUUUCACUAAAACUACAUUUACUAUGUAAAAGAAUGCUGAAAAUUUCUGGGUUUCAGCAAACAAAACAAGUACAAACCAACAUCAAAAUCCCAACAGUUGUUACUCAACAAACAGAAAAUAGAUACCUUGGACAAAGAGAAGUAACAAAAAAGAGAAGAAAAAAAGUUUUUUUUUUUUUAGAGAAAGACUUUCGUGUAAUAAUAGAGAAUGAGGUUGAGAAGGGGAAGUAACAAGAGAAGGGAAGAGAAGAAAUAAAAACUUACUGAGAAGGAGAAGUAGAUUUUCUCUCGUGAUAUCAGGGAGCCAUGGUUGAGAUGUGAAGCUCGGUUGUAUCGUCGGAGAGAAAAGGGUUUGUGGAGAACUGACAAAACAAACGUACUGAAGCAGUGAAAAGGGCUUUUGGAGGGGUAAUCCGGCCUUCACGAAAUCUUUAUCCAAGGGAUUAUAAUACCGGUAUUGUUAUUCCACCUCCAAUGUGGGAUAAGUUUAUACCAAUAUUUUGUAUAAAAUUAUACCAGUAUUAUUUAAUACCAGUUACAAAACAUGGAAUAAAUUUAAUCUCAAUUUUUAUACUGGGAUAUCCCACUUACCCGUAACCAAACGACCCCUUAGUUGCAUGUAAUAUUUACUUUCGUUUUUUACUUGUACAGUUGAACUGACUAGUGACUUUAAAUUUAAACCUUGAGACCGAGCUCUGCCUCUCACCUUUUGGUUCUUGGCAAGGAAAGACUAAAAAGAAAAAAAGGAAGCUUUCGGCGAACACGUUGAUAAGAAACAGUUUGUGUUUGGGUAAUUAGUUUGAAAAAACACUUUCGAGCCGCAGUUAGUAUUUGGUCAAGUUUUAAGAAAGUGCAUGCAAGUGUGUUUUUUUAAAAAGUGUUUUUCAAAAAAAUAUUUUUGGGAAGAAACUAUUUUUUUUCUGCUUUUGUUUUUACUUAAAAGUACUUUAUUAUUUUCUAAAAGCUUGGUCAAACAUGUUAACUCUAGGAAAAAGCACUUUUGGCCCUCAAAAAAAAACUUUUGGCCAAAAAGAAACACGGCCAAACAGGCUAUAAUACUUACUCUGUCUCAAUUUAUGUGGCACAAUUUGACUUGGCAUCGAAUUUAAGAAAGAGAAGAAGACUUUUAAAACUUGCUGUCUAAAAUAAAUCAUAGAUAUUUGUGUGACUAUAAAUGAUCUCAUUAGUACAAUGAGAAAUUUAAAGUUACAUUAUUUCUAAAUAUAGAAAGGUAAUGUUCAUUUUGGAAAAGACUUAAAAAGAAAAAAUUGCAACAUAAAUUUGGAUAGAGGGAUCAGCUUAUCUAAUCUUGCAAAACUGCAGUUUCGCAAAAUUGGUGGGUUCCUGAGAGAAAUAUCAGUGCAGAAUAACUGUUUAAUUGGUUAUCAAGAAGCUUGAAAAACUGCUCCAGGUAUGCUCUAUCUUAAUUAUCUGUCCCUUAGUUUUAAAUUACACUAGCUCUUUCAUGGGAAGUUGCUCUUUUCUUUCAAUCAUGAACUCUUACCAAAAGUAAGAAAAAAUAAGUAUAAGAGUAAACGGUAAGAAUUAUACUUUAACUUCUAGCUCAAGAUCAACGUUCUCUUUUUGCAAUAUAUGUACUCUAUUAGUCUAUUGCAUAAAGAUGGUAAUGUGCAGUACAAGAGGAGAAAACGCCACAAUUGCUAAUGUAAAAAGGGAAAACACACAAAUUUUAGGAACUUCCUAGUUCAAGAUCAAUCAGUUGGCCUAAAGUAAUAAAAGGAAAACAAUUAUUCAAAAGUGGCUUUUCUUUGGCUAAAGACGUAGAAACUUGUUGCAUGGUUGGCCUAAGUUGUGGACUUGGAUAAAGACAUGUCAAUGCUAUCUUUGUGAUGUUGAUCAAUUCUUCAGCCACUCGAAACGGAGGUAAUGGCCGUUGAUCAAUGAAAUCCUUUAAUAAUAUGUCAAGGCCGGUUUUUGAUGAUAUAGCAUGAACAAUAUGAUCAGCUGGAUGCCGACCUAAAAUCACUUCCAAUGAUAGCACUCCAAAACUGUAGGUAUCACAACUUUCAUCUACCUCCAUAGUGUAAGCAAGCUCUGUAUAUACAUGUGAAUCAAGAAGAAAAGGAAUAUUCAGAUGCACAAUUUCCAUAACUAAGAGAACCAGCAGAAUACAAGAGAAUGAAAAUGAUAUAAGACUCAAAAGCAACUGGUUUACUGUUGUAAAUGAUUUAAAAUUGUUCCUCUCCAAGGGGAGCCUUGGUUCAAGCCGUGGAAUCAGCCACAGAUGCUUGCGUCAGGGUAGGCUGCCUACAUCACACCCCUUUGGGGUACGGCCCUUCCCUGGAUCCUGCGUGAACACGUGAUGCUUUGUGCACCGGGCUGCCCUUGCCCGCUCAAGGCUCAAACAAAUUUGACAUGCAACCAUGUGUAUCAAAGGAUUGAAUGAAAGACAUUAAGAACAUUAUCUCAAGGAGAAUGUUUUUUGUCAUAUACUUUUUGACAUGCACUACACAUAGAAAAUCCUGCUACUUUUUUAGUAAUUGAGAUUCUUGAAAUUCAUGAAAAUAAUUUACACAUAGGAGUUAGUCUAAACUUAAAUAGAGCAUACCUGGAGCAACAUAUCCAAAAGUUCCAGCAAAUGAAGUCCAAUUAGAGGAGUUAGGCCUUAGGAGUUUUGCAGUACCAAAAUCAGAAAGAUGGGGCCUGUCUUCACAAUCUAACAAAACAUUCUUACUUGAUAUAUCCCUGUGAAGAAUAGGAGGUGAACACUCAUGAUGCAUAUAAGAUAAUGCAUUUGCUACUCCUUUGACAAUGUCCACUCUCUUAAUCCAAUCUAACUCUGCCGCUUUAACAUCAUUUCUUAGUCUCUCUAAUAAGCUUCCUCCUUCCAAGAAUUCGUAAACCAAGAAAGAAUGUCUUGCAUGUGAACAAAAUCCAUAAAGCUUUACAAUAUUACGAUGACGGAUUAACAACAAUGUUUUUGUUUCAUUUUUAAAGCUUUUCAAGCUGUCCAACUCACCAUCAUCUAAAGGAUGAAAUUUUUUCACCGCGACCACUUGCUCGCUUGGUAACUCGACCCUGAAGACACUUCCAUGUCCUCCCUUUCCUAUGCAAUAUUUGCUGUUAAAUCCCUCUGUUGCGCUAAUGAUGUUCUCAUAUGUCAUCUUCCCGUCGAAGCUCCAAAUGGAAAAAAGAUCCUUGGUUUGUUCUCUUUGCUCAAUUUGAUUUUUCCUUUUCCAAGAUGUGGUAUAAAGAAGACAAAUGAUCACAACCAUCAAAAGAAGAACACCACCCAAACUAAAAAGAAUCGUCGAGAUUUUUAUUCUUUUCUUGGUGAUUAAAUAUGAAGAGCAAGGUUUCAAACCAAUGAGAUGGCCACACAAGCCUUUAUUGUCUCUUAGUUCUUCAAGCGACGCAUUCUGAAAAGCUAAGAUGUUAGGAACAGGACCGGCCAAUUGAUUAUUAGAUAUAUCAACAAACCUCAAACUAAGACACUGAUCCAAACUUGAUGGGAUCGAACCAAACAGCUUAUUAUGCGAAAGAUUCAUUAGCUCCAAGCUUUGUAAUCGUCCCAGUUUCCAUGGCAUCUCACCAGUAAGCAUGUUAUGACUAAGAUCCAUAUUUUGUAAGAACCGCAAGUUCCCUAAGUGUGAAGGAAUACUUGCUUCCAACAUGUUUUUGCUUAAGUUCAAGCUCAAUAGCUGCACAUUGUUUCCAAUCUCUUGUGGAAUUAUGCCACUGAGAUGAUUUGCUGCUAAGUUAAGUUUUGCAAGGGAAGAAAGCUUCCCAAGUUCUGAUGGAAUACCAUCUGAAAGUUCGUUACUAGACAAAUCAAGCUCAAAAAGUAGCUUUAGGCUAUCCAAGCUUCUAGGGACCUUGCCAGUGAAAUUGUUAGAGGAGAGAUCAAGCACCUGUAAAGAAGAUGCAUUUCCAAUCUCAAAUGGAAUAGAUCCAGAUAAAUUGUUGUUGGACAUCUUCAAACAGGUAACUUUACCACAAAGUCCCCAUUGUGAUGAUAGCUCUCCAUGCAAUUCAUUGUGACUUAAAUCAAUGUAGUCUAGAUUCGGAUAUACACCGAAAGCUUCUGAUAUUUUUCCUGAUAGUUUAUUGUUUUCAAGUCUGACCCUGGAUAACUUGGAGCAGUUUUUCAAGCUUCUCGGAAUGCUACCGAUGAAACGAUUAUUCUGCACUGAUACUUCUGUCAGGAAUCCACCAAGACAAACAUUAUGAGGCAAAUGACCAGAGAGAUGGUUAUCGGCUAUGUGAAACAUCUCCCAGUUGGUAAUGUUUUCCAACUCUAGUGGAAGGGGUCCAUUGAGUUUAUUAAUGAACAAUCUCAUAUCAACAAG
RNAcentral lists this long non-coding RNA (11980 nucleotides) under Nicotiana tabacum (common tobacco). RNAcentral describes it as "long non-coding RNA (NTAB_LNC001692)". Lineage: Eukaryota; Viridiplantae; Streptophyta; Magnoliopsida; Solanales; Solanaceae. The record is from RNAcentral.